CACUCCUCAUCACCUGCCCCCCCCUUUCCGUCCUUCGGGUGGGCUCAGCGGGCGGAGCGCGAGCGCGCGUGGGAGUAGGGGAAAUCUUUCCCGACGCUUGUCCUCCCUGCAGCGGGGCGGGGGGGGAAGAGGGGGGAGAGCUCGGUGAUUCGGCGAUCGGCCGCGCGGGCUAGAGCGAGGCUGCGGAAUCCCGAGCUGCCGAUGGGGCGGGGGGAGGCGAUGGGGUGAAGCUGGGUCGGCCGCCAUUUUGGACGCGGCGCGCGCCGCCUCGCUGCGGGAAGGUCUUGCCGUUGCCGUAUAUCAGAAAAACCUACCGGUGAACAAGUAUACAGGAAAACGCAUAAGCAUCCAUAUGAUCUCCAUGCGUAGGGCAGAAUUAAUUACUUGAGGCUAUUAAUGUCCGGUCCACCAAGAGACUUGAAGGACUCUGUUGGUCGUCCACAAAUAAAAUGUUCUGCAGUCUGCCUUACAGCUGUAUAUAGAGAAAAUGCUACCUUCCUGCUCCAGGAUACAGCA
Molecule: long non-coding RNA, 516 nt
Organism: Chroicocephalus ridibundus (black-headed gull)
Lineage: Eukaryota; Metazoa; Chordata; Aves; Charadriiformes; Laridae
Exons: 3
Source: RefSeq, a predicted model, not a curated record